GUCUUAUUGUAAUAAUAAUUAUUAUACUUGAAUGAUACAAAAUUAAUAUGCUCAGCACUAUUCAAAUUUGUACUUUAUCUUUUCAUAAAAAUAAAAACCGGCGACGGCGUUUAUCGCAUCCCGUUCGAAUUUUAAGUGGCAUCGGUCGUGGCCAUAAUCAGAAACAAGUUGCUCAUGAACUGCGCAGUAACGUUUACGAGUAAUUGGACCGCGUUCAGAGCAGAAAAAAUUUGGCGCCGAACGCAAUGACGUUCACCACAAACUCGGCUGCCUAAAAAUAAUUCUUGGACGGUAAAUCUGUGGUCAAACCGCUGAACUCGAUCAUUUUGACCAGCAGUGAGCCAGUGACCAACACGUCAAAAAAGAAAUUUGGUAGGGUAUGGAAUGUUUAGCAAACGACCGCCAAUUGUUGACGAUCAGCCGCACGUACGCACGGGUAUCAUAAAUAAGUAAACGAACAGCAGUGCUAUGGUAACGGAAGCCAUUGAUGCUGUCACCAAACCCUCGCCCACCCGGAGUACGAUAAUAAUAAUAAUAUGUUCACUUUCACGUUUGUUUAUUUUUAAAAAGAAAAUUUGAAUGAAAAAAAACCGACAAUAAUAAUAAUAACGACGCGCUACGUGUUUACUUAAACUAAAAUAAUAUAUUAUUCUGUUUUCGUAUCGUCUUAUGUAGUUUAAUUUUUAAAUAUAGAAAUGUAUUUGUAAUUUGUCAUCUUUAUUUAUUUAUUUAAUAUUUGUAUUACUGUUAUUAUUAUUAUUCUAACUAAAUAUCUGUACAUUUUUUUUUUCUAUUAUCAUAUUUAUAUAAAUCACUUGAUGUUUUUUGGGUCUCGGCCAGUACUGUUAUAAAAUAAAAUAAAAUAUAUUACCACUGAUGGCAACUAUACGAGUAGCAUUUUAAACGCGCAAACACAUACUUCCAAGUAAUGAAUGCAUAUUUUAUUUUCAUUUUUAUAUUUCUCGCUUUCAUACCACUCGAAUGGGGGGAGGAGGAACAGUUAUACCCUACUCAUAAUAUUGUCCUCUGCGUCUCUCUAUAUCCGCCGCAAUUUCUUCGCCUACUCCACAAUCCGCAUAUCUUCAUUCUUCUCCCCGAGUAACCUCUAUAGUCAUUGUUUCUUUGACGCUCCUCUUCUCCAGCUUCCGUUUGUACUUUUUAUAUUUCACAAAUAAAUACUAAAUAGGUAGACCUAAAAGUAUGAUAACAAUAAUAUAAAGACACCGAUUAAUCGACUUGAUUAAUAAUUUAUUAUACUCCACGACCCAUAGUGAUCAAUAUGUUUUUUAUGUGAUUCCUAUACAAUAUAAUUCAAUACAUUUUUCUCCAAAAUCUCUAGCCUCUCUUUAAGCUUGCCUCUUGACGCUUUUUAUUAAUAAUUUGGUAAUUUGUUGUAUAAUAUCGAAUUUAAUUAAUUAAUUUAUGUUUAGCCCACUUAUAGAUCCUUAAUUCUUGAAUUUAUUUUGUUUUUUUAUAAAACUUUUAAAUUUUAUUUUUAUUUAUUUUAUUAUAGGUUCACUGACACUAAACAUAAUAUGUCCAAAAACGUUUGCAAUCUCUG
Non-coding RNA from Cinara cedri, 1561 nucleotides. The record is from the annotation of a GenBank genome assembly. Lineage: Eukaryota; Metazoa; Arthropoda; Insecta; Hemiptera; Aphididae.